Molecule: long non-coding RNA, 497 nt
Organism: Diorhabda carinulata
Lineage: Eukaryota; Metazoa; Arthropoda; Insecta; Coleoptera; Chrysomelidae
Exons: 3
Source: RefSeq, a predicted model, not a curated record
AUUUGAUUUUGUUCCAAUACUGACGUCUGUCAUUUGGUGACAUUAUGUCCGCCCUAGCGGCGGUUUGGGGCACUACUAAACGGAGGGAUAGUGAAUUUCUGAUCGAGAUGGAGCCACAGGUAUUUUGUUUCCACAGCGACUAGGAUUCGACAAUUGUUUAUAGUUUCUGAAGCGCAAGAAUGUUGGUGGAUGGUAAAGAUGACUUGUUGACAAGAAAAUUCAAUUAAUUAUAUAAUUCAUCUCGACUAUGAAUGGAAGUUUUUUAUGAUAAGAAUUAUACAUUGACUGUAGUAUUUUUUCUACGGCAGUAAUACAACUAAGCUGGAAUUUUUUAAACCCUUGGUGAUAUUCAUAGUGAACACACUGUUUACAUUACCACUACAGCAACACUACAAAAUAAACUUCAGCCUCUGAAAACGAUAACUUGGUUAUCGGAACGCGCGUCAAACAGUGUAAUUGUGAAUGUUUGUUUAGUGGUGGUGUAAACAGUGUAUUCA